Molecule: long non-coding RNA, 217 nt
Filed under: Panax ginseng (ginseng)
Lineage: Eukaryota; Viridiplantae; Streptophyta; Magnoliopsida; Apiales; Araliaceae
Description: long non-coding RNA (PGIN_LNC014508)
Source: RNAcentral
GGAAUAGUUUACAUACGUCUAUUUCAGUUGCCAAGGAGUUUUCAGAUAGGGUAGAAGAGGGAGAGAUCGAGUGCAGAGGGUUUUGAAAAUGGCCGAUCGAGCUGGACGGAGGAUAUGAUGAUGAGGCAAUUGAAGCAGAACCUGAUGACGGUGCAGAUCGAGGAGGAACUGGAGAGGAUAAACAAGACAUCAAAUUAUAUGACAAAAUACGAAGGUG